GGUUGUCGCUCUUAAAGUGUUCUAAAACAAUGCACACUGUCUUAUGGCUUGUUGAUAAGCAUGCAGGUUAAAUCCCGGGAUUAGGGGUGUUAAAUUGUUGUAAAAAACAGACUUUUAUAUGCUAAAUGCUGCCCCUAGUACUAAGCUAACCACGAGAAUUAGCUUAAUGGUAACUAGCGGCAGUUAUUACGGUGUUUCCUGGUCUCGUGAGUUUGCGCACGGGCCAAAAACUCCGCUGCUGUGUGGACAUCUUGUGUGCCGCUGUGGUAUUAAUAUGAGUGUGUAUUAUUUCUUUCUUUAUUCUUUAGUGGAGAGAGAUCCUGUUUACUGUGGACUGUGUGUGACGCCCUGUUGUUUUUGUAUCCAUUCAAAAAAAAGCAUCAUCUACUGCCUGGAUUUUUGCCUACAACUGCUCCUGCUGCGUUCGCUUAAUCAACGCAAACAUGAAUAGAAAGACUGUACCUGUCUCUUUAUCAACCUUAAGACAAAGGACACGUGUAGACGUUCAAAAAAGUCUUCAUCAUUGUGUAAUAGGAAGGAGCCUGGAUCCAGCCUGGCCUACAGGCCAACAUGGCGAGGGGGAAGAAUGGCCGACAACAUUUCCUGCUCUGUGGCUGAGGUCCAGAUCCUUAGCCUGCUGGAAACUAUUAAACACACCCAAGACCAGCUGAUGGCGAAGGUCAACUUCUUAACCAGCAGGUUGACCAUUACCCCGGGGCCAGAAGUUGAAAUGCCGGCCAAUAUCCAGUUUCCACUGAGUUAGUGGAGGCAUUUUUGAAUGCACCAUCAAAUGGCCCAGCUCGAUAAAGAGUGAUUUCUUCUUUGGCCACCAUUGGAGGCCAGGAUGUGAAGCGGGUGACCUGGAACAGCCUGGGCAGGAUGUUCACAGAUGGCGUUUCAGAUCAGAUCAAUUGGAAGGGUGUCAACAACAAAAAGGCCUUUAGCAGAAUGGCAACAAAGACCUUGCUUUUCAAGCCAGAUGAAGUGGUUCAGGCAUCUGGUCCGGAUGCCACCCGGACGCCUCCCUAAGGAGGUGUUUCGGGCCCGUCCGACCGGUAGGAGGCCACGGGGAAGACCCAGGACACGUUGGGAAGACUAUCUUUCCCGGCUGGCCUGGGAACGCCUCGGGAUCCCCCAGGAUGAGCUGGACGAAGUGCCUGGGGAGAGAGAAGUCUGGGCUUCCCUGCUUAGGCUGCUGCCCCCGCGACCCGACCUCGGAUAAGCGGAAGAAGAUGGAUGGAUGGGAUAUUUUGUAUUGUGUGCUGUGAGAAAAAAUGUGGUGACAAGGUCAGCCACGGACGCUGAGGUCACCAAACCCGCCAUCAGGUGGUUCAACCUGGCGGCGGAUCGGGCAACCAGGAGACGAGUCCCGCCUCCACCUCCUCAGGAGGAAUAGAAAU
Molecule: non-coding RNA, 1400 nt
Organism: Nerophis lumbriciformis (worm pipefish)
Lineage: Eukaryota; Metazoa; Chordata; Actinopteri; Syngnathiformes; Syngnathidae
Source: RefSeq, a predicted model, not a curated record